GUGGGGAAUAUUGGACAAUGGGCGAAAGCCUGAUCCAGCCAUGCCGCGUGUGUGAAGAAGGUCUUCGGAUUGUAAAGCACUUUAAGUUGGGAGGAAGGGCAGUAAGUUAAUACCUUGCUGUUUUGACGUUACCGACAGAAUAAGCACCGGCUAACUUCGUGCCAGCAGCCGCGGUCAUACGAAGGGUGCAAGCGUUAAUCGGAAUUACUGGGCGUAAAGCGCGCGUAGGUGGCUUUGUAAGUUGGAGGUGAAAUCCCCGGGCUCAACCUGGGAACUGCCUCAGAAACUGCAUGACUAGAGUACGGUAGAGGGUAGUGGAAUUUCCUGUGUAGCGGUGAAAUGCGUAGAUAUAGGAAGGAACACCAGUGGCGAAGGCGACUACCUGGACUGAUACUGACACUGAGGUGCGAAAGCGUGGGGAGCAAACAGGAUUAGAAACCCCGGUAGUCC
This 450-nucleotide ribosomal RNA is filed under the name uncultured bacterium. RNAcentral describes it as "partial 16S ribosomal RNA". It matches the Rfam family "Bacterial small subunit ribosomal RNA", at positions 354 to 796 of the family's 1533-position model. The record is from RNAcentral.